AUUGAACGCUGGCGGCAGGCUUAACACAUGCAAGUCGAGCGGAGUGAUGGUGCUUGCACUAUCACUUAGCGGCGGACGGGUGAGUAAUGCUUAGGUAUCUGCCUAUUAGUGGGGGACAACAUCUCGAAAGGGAUGCUAGUACCGCAUACGUCCUACGGGAGAAAGCAGGGGAUCACUUGUGACCUUGCGCUAAUAGAUGGGCCUAAGUCGGAUUAGCUAGUUGGUGGGGUAAAGGCCUACCAAGGCGACGAUCUGUAGCGGGUCUGAGAGGGUGAUCCGCCACACUGGGACUGAGAAACGGCCCAGACUCCUACGGGAGGCAGCAGUGGGGAAUAUUGGACAAUGGGGGGAACCCUGAUCCAGCCAUGCCGCGUGUGUGAAGAAGGCCUUAUGGUUGUAAAGCACUUUAAGCGAGGAGGAGGCUCUUUUGGUUAAUACCCAAGAUGAGUGGACGUUACUCGCAGAAUAAGCACCGGCUAACUCUGUGCCAGCCGCCGCAGUAA
This 503-nucleotide ribosomal RNA is filed under the name uncultured bacterium. RNAcentral describes it as "partial 16S ribosomal RNA". It matches the Rfam family "Bacterial small subunit ribosomal RNA", at positions 30 to 523 of the family's 1533-position model. The record is from RNAcentral.